Molecule: ribosomal RNA, 494 nt
Filed under: uncultured bacterium
Lineage: Bacteria
Description: bacterial SSU rRNA
Rfam family: Bacterial small subunit ribosomal RNA
Source: RNAcentral
GAUGACCGCUAGCGGCACGCUUCAUUCAUGCAAGUCGAGGGGCAGCAUAAAGUACUUGUACUUUGAUGGCGACCGGCGAACGGGUGCGUAACGCGUAUGCAACUUACCUUUUACUAGAGAAUAGCCAAGAGAAAUUUUGAUUAAUGCUCUAUACUCUUUUUAACUCACAUGAGUUUUUAAGAAAAGCUCCGGCGGUAAAAGAUGGGCAUGCGUCCUAUUAGCUUGUAGGUGAGGUAACGGCUCACCUAAGCUCCGAUAGGUAGGGGUCCUGAGAGGGAGAUCCCCCACACUGGUACUGAGACACGGACCAGACUUCUACGGAAGGCAGCAGUAAGGAAUAUUGGACAAUGGAGGAAACUCUGAUCCAGCGAUGCCGCGUGAAGGAAGACGGCCCUAUGGGUUGUAAACUUCUUUUAUACAGGAAGAAACCUUUCCACGUGUGGAAAGCUGACGGUACUGUAAGAAUAAGGAUCGGCUAACUCCGUGCCAGCAGA